GCUUGCAUCGCUAGCCGCAUUCAGUGGGCGCAUUCGUAAUGCGUAGGUCGCAGGUUCGACUCCUGUUUCCGGCACCA
This 77-nucleotide transfer RNA is filed under the name Stenotrophomonas maltophilia. RNAcentral describes it as "tRNA-Thr". The stretch from base 14 to 74 matches the Rfam family "tRNA". From Rfam's summary of the family: Transfer RNA (tRNA) molecules are approximately 80 nucleotides in length. Their secondary structure includes four short double-helical elements and three loops (D, anti-codon, and T loops). Lineage: Bacteria; Pseudomonadati; Pseudomonadota; Gammaproteobacteria; Lysobacterales; Lysobacteraceae. The record is from RNAcentral.